RNAcentral lists this ribosomal RNA (377 nucleotides) under uncultured bacterium. RNAcentral describes it as "bacterial SSU rRNA". It matches the Rfam family "Bacterial small subunit ribosomal RNA", at positions 523 to 898 of the family's 1533-position model. The record is from RNAcentral.
AUACGUAGGGGGCAAGCGUUGUCCGGAAUCACUGGGCGUAAAGGGUGCGUAGGCGGCCUAGCAAGUCCUGUGUGAAAUACCUCGGCUUAACCGGGGAGGGUCAUGGGAAACUGUUAGGCUCGAGUGCCGGAGAGGGCAGUGGAAUUCCAGGUGUAGCGGUGAAAUGCGUAGAUAUCUGGAGGAACAUCAGUGGCGAAGGCGACUGCCUGGACGGUAACUGACGCUGAGGCACGACAGCUGGGGGAGCAAACAGGAUUAGAUACCCUGGUAGUCCCAGCCGUAAACGAUGAGUGCUAGGUGUUGGGGGUAUCGACCCCUCCAGUGCCGUAGUAAACACAUUAAGCACUCCGCCUGGGGAGUACGGCCGCAAGGCUGAA